CGCUUUUUGAUUUUAAUAAAAAGUAAAGCCUGCCCAAUGAGUAAUUUAAAUGGCCGCGGUAAUUUGACCGUGCGAAGGUAGCAUAAUCAUUAGUCUAUUAAUUGUAGACUGGUAUGAAUGGUUUGAAUGAAAAAUUUCUGUCUCUUAAGUAGAAAUGAAUUUUAAAAUCUUGUGAAGAUGCAGGAAUGGUAUUAAAAGACGAGAAGACCCUAUUAAGCUUUAUAUUUUUUAUGCUUUAUAAGGUUAAAAGUAUAAAUAGUAUUUUGUUGGGGCGACAAUAAAGAUUAAAUAACCUUUAUUUUUAAUAAUAAAAUUAAUAUAAAAAUGAUCCAUAUAAUAUGAUUAAAAGAACAAGUUACUAUAGGGAUAACAGCGUAAUUUUAUCGGAGAGUUCAAAUUGAUGAUAAAGAUUGCGACCUCGAUGUUGAAUUAGGAUACCUUUAAGGUGCAGCUGUUUUUUAAGGUAGACUGUUCGUCUAUUAAAAUCCUACA
This 492-nucleotide ribosomal RNA is filed under the name Anopsobius patagonicus calcaratus. RNAcentral's name for it is "partial 16S ribosomal RNA". It matches the Rfam family "Bacterial large subunit ribosomal RNA", at positions 1817 to 2600 of the family's 2925-position model. The record is from RNAcentral. Lineage: Eukaryota; Metazoa; Arthropoda; Chilopoda; Lithobiomorpha; Henicopidae.